This is a long non-coding RNA of Centruroides sculpturatus (bark scorpion), 951 nucleotides long. RefSeq lists it as uncharacterized. The transcript is spliced from 5 exons. NCBI's taxonomy places the organism in Eukaryota, Metazoa, Arthropoda, Arachnida, Scorpiones, Buthidae. The record is from RefSeq and is a predicted model, not a curated record.
GAUNGUGAAUGGAAAACAGCCACAGGUGAAAUGCAUCUCAGUAAUUGUUUACAUAACAUUUAAAAAUAGAAAUGUGAAUGGAAAACAGCCACAGGUGAAAUGCAUCUCAGUAAUUGUUUACAUAACAUUUAAAAAUAGAAAUGUGAAUGGAAAACAGCCACAGGAAUUCUUUAAACUUUGUUGUGCAUUUUUUGAAAUUGCAGAGUGAACAAACAGUCAGUUGUUGGCAUUGGGUCUGAAGUCAAUAACACAGAUUCAGAUUGUGAAAAAAGUUUUAUUGAACAUAUUUCAGUAUGUAUUAGUAUGAAAUAUGUUUUAUAUCAUUAUUUGUGUUCUUUUAGAAUUAAGGAGAAGGUUGUUUCAAUAGAAAGGAAGAAUUACGGUUACUGAUGUGGGGGACGUAAAAUGCAAGUUGGCUUAAAAUUCAUGUAUGUAAUCAAUAAAAACAAACAUAAUUAAAUUAUAGUUUGGAUGAUUGAAUUACCGGAAGCAUUCCUAUACACCUAUAGAUGCAGGAUUAUGAAACUCCUAUGAAUUAUCUAAUUGAGUUUUAUAGUGUUUACUGUUUUAAAUGUGAUAUAUGAGUACAAAGUAAUUUUGUAAUUCAUUUUAGUAGUCAGUGUUAGGAGUGUGUAUAUAUUUUUCAACAUUCAGGUUACAAGUGUUGUUUGAUAGGUGUUAAAUUCCAAUUUUAAUUCAACUCAGUUUUCUAUUUGAUGACCCUUAUCUGGCAGGCACUGUUGGUUAUUUGUAAGCUUAGUAACUUGUGAAUUUCAUCUACUAACAGAAACAAAUUUCAUUGAUUAAUAUUUGAAAUUUACAAAUAUAAUUAUUAGUGAUGUAACGAAUAUUCGGUUACUAUUUGGUAUUCUGCCUAUUCGGCUCAUUUUUUGCUAUUGGGCCAAAUACCGAAUAUUUAAUCACUAUUCGGCCGAAUACCAAACACGUAUA